CUCCUUUGCCAAUGACCCGCCGGGCCGUCACAAAGGGCAUAUUAAAAAACACCACUUUUGGGGGGAAGCGGCAAUAUCUUGUGCUGUUAAGCUUCGAUCAGUUAUGUGACAAAG
Molecule: small nucleolar RNA, 114 nt
Filed under: Echinops telfairi (small Madagascar hedgehog)
Lineage: Eukaryota; Metazoa; Chordata; Mammalia; Afrosoricida; Tenrecidae
Source: RNAcentral